Molecule: long non-coding RNA, 362 nt
Organism: Chlorocebus sabaeus (green monkey)
Lineage: Eukaryota; Metazoa; Chordata; Mammalia; Primates; Cercopithecidae
Source: RefSeq, a predicted model, not a curated record
AGGGACCCUGUGCUCUUGGCGCUCUUGGAAAAUGCUGACGAACCACAAGGGAAGGUGGCCAUUUCACGCUUCUUCACUCCCGCCCCACAGCCUGGCAUCGUGAAUAGGGGAACAGCCCCAGAGUACGGAGACGCUGCACCCACAUACAGCGGCAGGCGCCAGGAGGAAAGGGCAGAAGAGUGGACACCACGGAUGGUAAGCUGCCACCCAUGGAUGGGAACACCAGGCGCAGACCAGCCGCAGCACCCAUGGCUCUCCAGGACUACCGUGAGGAGCCCCGGUCAAACACACAGGGCUUAGGCUUACUUCUCAGCUUCUCAUCUACGUCUUCUUCUUGUAAAAGCUACACAUGCAACCAGCAU